Molecule: ribosomal RNA, 406 nt
Filed under: uncultured bacterium
Lineage: Bacteria
Description: partial 16S ribosomal RNA
Rfam family: Bacterial small subunit ribosomal RNA
Source: RNAcentral
AUUGAACGCUGGCGGCAGGCCUAACACAUGCAAGUCGAACGAGUGGCGGACGGGUGAGUAAUGUCUGGGAAACUGCCCGAUGGAGGGGGAUAACGACUGGAAACGGUAGCUAAUACCGCAUACCAUCGGAUGUGCCCAGACUGGUUUAGCUAGUAGGUGGGGUAACGGCUCCCCGUGGCGACGAUCCCUAGCUGGGCUGAGAGGAUGAACAGCCACACUGGAACGGAGACACGGUCCAGACUCCUACGGGAGGCAGCAGUGGGGAAUAUUCGACAAUGGGCGCAAGUCUGACGCAGCCAUGCCGCGUGAAUGAAGAAGGCCUUCGGGUUGUAAAGUACUGUUGUCGGGGAGGCGUUACCCGCAGAAGAAGCACCGGCUAACUCCGUGCCAGCAGCCGCGGUAAUAC